AAAUUGAAGAGUUUGAUCAUGGCUCAGAUUGAACGCUGGCGGCAGGCCUAACACAUGCAAGUCGAACGGUAACAGGAAACAGCUUGCUGUUUCGCUGACGAGUGGCGGACGGGUGAGUAAUGUCUGGGAAACUGCCUGAUGGAGGGGGAUAACUACUGGAAACGGUAGCUAAUACCGCAUAAUGUCGCAAGACUAAAGAGGGGGACCUUCGGGCCUCUUGCCAUCGGAUGUGCCCAGAUGGGAUUAGCUAGUAGGUGGGGUAACGGCUCACCUAGGCGACGAUCCCUAGCUGGUCUG
This 297-nucleotide ribosomal RNA is filed under the name Escherichia coli. Its description in RNAcentral is "partial 16S ribosomal RNA". It matches the Rfam family "Bacterial small subunit ribosomal RNA", at positions 1 to 294 of the family's 1533-position model. RNAcentral also lists the same sequence under 1 other name. The record is from RNAcentral. Lineage: Bacteria; Pseudomonadati; Pseudomonadota; Gammaproteobacteria; Enterobacterales; Enterobacteriaceae.